CCUGGAUUCCAAUUCCCAAAAUGCCCUUGAUUCCUGAAAUUUUAAAUUUUGGAGAUGGGAUGGGGACUGUGGGAUUAGAGGUGAAAUUUUUAAAUUUUUCCAAGAUCCCCAGAGCGACAGUGGGGACGCGGGCCCGAUACUGCCGUUGGGCCCCGAAGCGUGGGGAGCAAACGAGAUUAGAUGCCUUGAUAGUCCACGCAGUCAACGAUGUAUGCCAGCAAUUACAGGGUUUACUCAGUAGUGGCGCAGGUAACGCUAUAAGCAUUUCUCAUCAGUAGUACGGUCGCAAGAGUUAACCUCAAAGGAAUCGACGGGGAUUCGCACAAGCGGCGCAGCAUGUGGUUUAAUUGGUCUCAUUGCGCAGAACGUUCACAGCCCUUGACAUCCCGGUCGUCGGAGUCCAGAGAUGCAGUUAUUCAGUUCGUCAGGUCGGGAGACAGGAGACACAUGGCGCUUGUCAGUUGUCAUCUUGAGUUGUGAGAUUAAGUGUUAAAUCGAGCAGCGAGCGCAGUCCUUAUCUUUAGUCAUUUACAUGUACAUUAUCACUAUAAGGAGGCUUGAUAAGAUAAGACGAGAGGAAGGAGGGGAUGAAGUCAUCUUGUCAUGGCCCUUACGGGCUGGCAUACACACGUCAUACAAUGGCGGAGUCAAUGGGAAAGUAAGGGGCGAUCCUUCGCAAAUAUCAAAAAGUCGUAUCAGUUCGGAUUGGGCUCUGCAACUCGAGCCCAUGAAGUUGGAAUCUAUUGUAAUCGUGGAUCAGCACGCCACGGUGAAUACGUUCCCGGGCCUUGUACACACCGCCCGUCACACCAUGGGAGUUGGUUUUACCUGAAGACGGUGCGCUAACCGAAAGGGGGGCAGCCGGCCACGGUAGGGUCAGCGACUGGGGUGAAGUCGUAACAAGGUAGCCGUAGGGGAACCUGCGGCUGGAUCACCUCCUUUAAGGGGAUCCCGGGG
Molecule: ribosomal RNA, 957 nt
Filed under: uncultured bacterium
Lineage: Bacteria
Description: bacterial SSU rRNA
Rfam family: Bacterial small subunit ribosomal RNA
Source: RNAcentral